This 78-nucleotide transfer RNA is filed under the name Chloroflexota bacterium. RNAcentral describes it as "Chloroflexi bacterium (marine metagenome) tRNA-Pro". It matches the Rfam family "tRNA". From Rfam's summary of the family: Transfer RNA (tRNA) molecules are approximately 80 nucleotides in length. Their secondary structure includes four short double-helical elements and three loops (D, anti-codon, and T loops). Lineage: Bacteria; Bacillati; Chloroflexota. The record is from RNAcentral.
CGGGGCGUAGCGCAGUUCGGUUAGCGCGCACGGUUCGGGUCCGUGAGGUCGGCGGUUCAAAUCCGCCCGCCCCGACCA